AACACAUGCAAGUCGAACGAUGAAGCCCAGCUUGCUGGGUGGAUUAGUGGCGAACGGGUGAGUAACACGUGAGUAACCUGCCCUUAACUCUGGGAUAAGCCUGGGAAACUGGGUCUAAUACCGGAUAGGAGCGCCUACCGCAUGGUGGGUGUUGGAAAGAUUUAUCGGUUUUGGAUGGACUCGCGGCCUAUCAGCUUGUUGGUGAGGUAAUGGCUCACCAAGGCGACGACGGGUAGCCGGCCUGAGAGGGUGACCGGCCACACUGGGACUGAGACACGGCCCAGACUCCUACGGGAGGCAGCAGUGGGGAAUAUUGCACAAUGGGCGCAAGCCUGAUGCAGCGACGCCGCGUGAGGGAUGACGGCCUUCGGGUUGUAAACCUCUUUCAGUAGGGAAGAAGCGAAAGUGACGGUACCUGCAGAAGAAGCACCGGCUAACUACGUGCCAGCAGCCGCGGUAAUACGUAGGGUGCGAGCGUUAUCCGGAAUUAUUGGGCGUAAAGAGCUCGUAGGCGGUUUGUCGCGUCUGUCGUGAAAGUCCGGGGCUUAACCCCGGAUCUGCGGUGGGUACGGGCAGACUAGAGUGCAGUAGGGGAGACUGGAAUUCCUGGUGUA
This 614-nucleotide ribosomal RNA is filed under the name Micrococcus luteus. Its description in RNAcentral is "bacterial SSU rRNA". It matches the Rfam family "Bacterial small subunit ribosomal RNA", at positions 50 to 677 of the family's 1533-position model. The record is from RNAcentral. Lineage: Bacteria; Bacillati; Actinomycetota; Actinomycetes; Micrococcales; Micrococcaceae.